Molecule: ribosomal RNA, 417 nt
Filed under: uncultured Methanosaeta sp.
Lineage: Archaea; Methanobacteriati; Methanobacteriota; Methanomicrobia; Methanotrichales; Methanotrichaceae
Description: bacterial SSU rRNA
Rfam family: Archaeal small subunit ribosomal RNA
Source: RNAcentral
GUGCACCAGUCGAGAAAACUUUACAAUGCGGGAAACCGUGAUAAGGGAAUCUCGAGUGCCAGCAUAUAAUGUUGGCUGUCCAGAUGCCUAAAAAGCAUCUGUUAGCAAGGGCCGGGCAAGACCGGUGCCAGCCGCCGCGGUAACACCGGCGGCCCGAGUGGUAACCGUUUUUAUUGGGUCUAAAGGGUCUGUAGCCGGUCAUGUAAGUCCCUUGGGAAAUCUGGCAGCUCAACUGUCAGGCUGCUAGGGGAUACUGCUUGGCUUGGGACCGGGAGAGGUGAGAGGUACCUUGAGGGUAGGGGUGAAAUCUUGUGAUCCUCGGGGGACCACCAGUGGCGAAGGCGUCUCACCAGAACGGGUCCGACGGUAAGGGACGAAAGCUAGGGGCACGAACCGGAUUAGAUACCCCCGUAGUCC